UACGUAGGGUGCAAGCGUUGUCCGGAAUUAUUGGGCGUAAAGAGCUCGUAGGCGGUUUGUCGCGUCUGCUGUGAAAACCCGAGGCUCAACCUCGGGCCUGCAGUGGGUACGGGCAGACUAGAGUGCGGUAGGGGAGAUUGGAAUUCCUGGUGUAGCGGUGGAAUGCGCAGAUAUCAGGAGGAACACCAAUGGCGAAGGCAGCUCGCUGGGACGUUACUGACGCUGAGACGCGAAAGCGUGGGGAGCAAACAGG
This 253-nucleotide ribosomal RNA is filed under the name uncultured bacterium. Its description in RNAcentral is "partial 16S ribosomal RNA". It matches the Rfam family "Bacterial small subunit ribosomal RNA", at positions 524 to 776 of the family's 1533-position model. The record is from RNAcentral.